Molecule: ribosomal RNA, 274 nt
Filed under: uncultured bacterium
Lineage: Bacteria
Description: partial 16S ribosomal RNA
Rfam family: Bacterial small subunit ribosomal RNA
Source: RNAcentral
AUACGGAGGGUGCAAGCGUUGUUCGGAAUUACUGGGCGUAAAGCGCGCGUAGGCGGUCUGUUAUGUCAGAUGUGAAAGUCCUCGGCUCAACCGGGGAAGUGCAUUUGAAACUGGCAGACUUGAGUACUGGAGGGGGUGGUGGAAUUCCCGGUGUAGAGGUGAAAUUCGUAGAUAUCGGGAGGAAUACCGGUGGCGAAGGCGACCACCUGGCCAGAUACUGACGCUGAGGUGCGAAAGCGUGGGGAGCAAACAGUAUUAGAAACCCCAGUAGUCC